RNAcentral lists this ribosomal RNA (253 nucleotides) under uncultured bacterium. RNAcentral describes it as "partial 16S ribosomal RNA". It matches the Rfam family "Bacterial small subunit ribosomal RNA", at positions 524 to 776 of the family's 1533-position model. The record is from RNAcentral.
UACGUAGGGGGCAAGCGUUGUCCGGAAUCAUUGGGCGUAAAGCGCGUGUAGGCGGUCCGGUAAGUCGGCUGUGAAAGUCCAGGGCUCAACCCUGGGAUGCCGGUCGAUACUGCCGGACUAGAGUUCGGAAGAGGCGAGUGGAAUUCCCGGUGUAGCGGUGAAAUGCGCAGAUAUCGGGAGGAACACCAAUGGCGAAGGCAGCUCGCUGGGACGUUACUGACGCUGAGGCACGAAAGCGUGGGUAUCAAACAGG